Long non-coding RNA from Dreissena polymorpha, 873 nucleotides. RefSeq lists it as uncharacterized. Lineage: Eukaryota; Metazoa; Mollusca; Bivalvia; Myida; Dreissenidae. The record is from RefSeq and is a predicted model, not a curated record. The transcript is spliced from 3 exons.
UCGAUGAUGCUUUUGUAGGGCAAGUGACGGAUCUGCCACGGUGGGAACCGCGACAGUAACAUUGAAAGUGGCCGAUGAGCCUGCCCUGGAAUACUCAGCUUAUGUGUUCUGUUUGCCUGAUAAAACUGUAGGGGGUACUACUGUCGUUACUGCCUCCUCUUCAACUUCCGGUGUGACAUACACAUUAGGAGGUACCGAUGCAGGGAGCUUUGACAUCUCUUCAGGCAAGAUCUCGCUCAAGUCUACCGUGACCUUAGCGUACUCCACCAAACCCUCCUAUACAGCGACCAUCACCGGCACAUCAGGGAGUGAAACGUCUGCAACACCACUGACGCUGUAUGUUUGUACUGGCUGCUCCAGCACUUCGGCGGCCGUGGGCUUGUCCAUCUACAUGUCAGUUUUCGUACUGGCCGCGGCUUCUACGAAACUUAUCUAGAAACGGGGUGUCAAAUGAACAUGUGCGAAAGAAUAAAAUAUCAGAAUUAAAAGUUGUGUUAAGGAGGUUUAUAUUGUAAAAAAAAAUAUGGUGAUGAACAUGUUAUUUGUAAAAACAUAGAUUAAUUACUUCUUUAAAUAGGAAUUACAUGAACAAUAUACUAUUUCAUAAAAUGUAUUUUAAAUUAAGAAUUGAAAAAAAGAAGCUUAAAUGCAAUAAGAUAUUUGAUAUGUUAACGGGUAAUUUUUGGUAACAUCUAUACAUGGGCAUUGAAGAAUGCAUUGUUGAUAUUGGUGUGUGUUUAUAAUAAAUCUGUAUAUUAAUGAUAUUGUCCCUCUAUGAAAUACCUUUGGGUACUUGAUUUUUGGGGAUAAUUGAACUAGUGUGUGUAUUUAAAUAAGUUUUUGGUUCUUUAUUUUGAAAUAAAAUCUAACGUC